Molecule: ribosomal RNA, 480 nt
Filed under: uncultured bacterium
Lineage: Bacteria
Description: partial 16S ribosomal RNA
Rfam family: Bacterial small subunit ribosomal RNA
Source: RNAcentral
GACGAACGCUGGCGGCGCGCCUAACCCAUGCAAGUCGAGCGAUGAAAUUUUAACCGAUCUCUUCGGAGAGAAGAUAAAAUGGAUUAGCGGCGGACGGGUGAGUAACACGUGAGAAACCUGCCUUUCACAAGGGGAUAGCCUCGGGAAACCGGGAUUAAUACCCUAUGACACAUUUCCUUCGCAUGGAAGAAAUGUUAAAACUCCGGUGGUGAAAGAUGGUCUCGCGCCUGAUUAGCUAGUUGGUGGGGUAACGGCCCACCAAGGCCAUGAUCAGUAACCGGCCUGAGAGGGUGAACGGUCACAUUGGAACUGAGACACGGUCCAAACUCCUACGGGAGGCAGCAGUGGGGAAUAUUGCACAAUGGAGGAAACUCUGAUGCAGCGACGCCGCGUGAGCGAUGAAGGCUUUCGAGUCGUAAAGCUCUGUCCUAUGGGAAGAUAAUGACGGUACCAUAGGAGGAAGCCCCGGCUAACUACGUG